This 204-nucleotide long non-coding RNA is filed under the name Phoenix dactylifera (date palm). Its description in RNAcentral is "long non-coding RNA (PDAC_LNC012785)". Lineage: Eukaryota; Viridiplantae; Streptophyta; Magnoliopsida; Arecales; Arecaceae. The record is from RNAcentral.
AUGGGAGACCCUACUUGAUCUGCGAGGUGGUUGAGGGACAUCGUGUACUGGCUCUGUAUUAAUGGGUUCGCUCGUUGCUUUUCAGAGACUUUCUCUUCAAGCUCAAUUUUCCUCCCACUGCCUCUAUCAAGGAUAAACUAUUUUCAUGAAGAUAGCAUGGCGUCUCACAAACACUUUGUGAUCCUUUGAGAUGAAAAAAUCGUA